GACGAACGCUGGCGGCGUGCUUAACACAUGCAAGUCGAACGGAAAGGCCCUGCUUUUGUGGGGUGCUCGAGUGGCGAACGGGUGAGUAACACGUGAGUAACCUGCCCUUGACUUUGGUAUAACUUCAGGAAACUGGGGCUAAUACCGGAUAGGAUCUCCUGCUGCAUGGUGGGGGUUGGGACGUUUCGGCGGUUGGGGAUGGACUCGCGGCUUAUCAGCUUGUUGGUGGGGUAGUGGCUUACCAAGGCUUUGACGGGUAGCCGGCCUGAGAGGGUGACCGGCCACAUUGGGACUGAGAUACGGCCCAGACUCCUACGGGAGGCAGCAGUGGGGAAUAUUGCACAAUGGGCGGAAGCCUGAUGCAGCAACGCCGCGUGCGGGAUGACGGCCUUCGGGUUGUAAACCGCUUUCGCCUGUGACGAAGCGUGAGUGACGGUAAUGGGUAAAGAAGCACCGGCUAACUACGUG
RNAcentral lists this ribosomal RNA (468 nucleotides) under uncultured bacterium. RNAcentral describes it as "partial 16S ribosomal RNA". It matches the Rfam family "Bacterial small subunit ribosomal RNA", at positions 28 to 507 of the family's 1533-position model. The record is from RNAcentral.